UGGGGAAUAUUGCACAAUGGGGGAAACCCUGAUGCAGCGACGCCGCGUGAACGAAGAAGGUAUUCGUAUCGUAAAGUUCUGUCCUAUGGGAAGAUAAUGACAGUACCAUAGAAGAAAGCUCCGGCUAAAUACGUGCCAGCAGCCGCGGUAAUACGUAUGGAGCGAGCGUUGUCCGGAAUUAUUGGGCGUAAAGGGUACGCAGGCGGUUUAAUAAGUCGAAUGUUAAAGAUCGGGGCUCAACCCCGUAAAGCAUUGGAAACUGAUAAACUUGAGUAGUGGAGAGGAAAGUGGAAUUCCUAGUGUAGUGGUGAAAUACGUAAAUAUUAGGAGGAAUACCAGUAGCGAAGGCGACUUUCUGGACACAAACUGACGCUGAGGUACGAAAGCGUGGGGAGCAAACAGG
Molecule: ribosomal RNA, 403 nt
Filed under: bacterium
Lineage: Bacteria
Also listed under: 1 other name
Description: partial 16S ribosomal RNA
Rfam family: Bacterial small subunit ribosomal RNA
Source: RNAcentral